UCGUCCGCCUUCAGGGAGUAGCGGUUGUUUGCAUUGAAACCUGUCCUACACCUACAAUCAUGCAAUACCUAGGGUAGGUUGCAGGCUUGCAGUGGGUAUUUACCCGUAGACAGGUACAGGCAUCAGCUGAACCAAGGGUGGUGGUGGGGAUUGACAAACGAAUAUUGCGAAAGUCACAAAACACAUUCUUUGUUUUCCAAUAGGUUGUAUCUGCGCUGGGUUCACAGAGACCUCGUAUCCGUGAUAAAGUAGGUUGCAUCUGCGCUGGGUUCAUAGAGACGUCGUGCCCGUGAUAAAAGAGUUUCAGUUAAAUAUGUCACUCUCUACCUUCGUCCUUCUGACAACAUUUGUAAGUUGUUGCCAUGGGGCCAAUAUACUUCUUAUGCCAACUCCAGCAACAAGCCACUCUCUGGAAAUUAUGUCCAUUGGGCAAGCUCUUCUGAAACGAGGCCAUGACGUUACCUUAUUGGCCGUCCUCUCUGAUACCAAAUCUUGUAUCGGAAGGUUAGAUAAGGAGGCUUUCAAGGAGAAAUUCAAUCUUAUUGUUCCUGAUCUGGAUCCAUCGAUACAGAAGGCACAUGAUGAUAUGAUGGCAACUGCUGGCAAACUCAUUUUUAAUCGAGAUGGUAUGUGGAAAUAGUUCUUGAUUUUCUGAAGCCUAUGAUCCAUAAUCAGUGUAGUGCUGCAAUGAAAGAUAGGAUUGUGUUAGAAAGGUUGAAAAAGGGCAAUUAUGACAUUGCCUUGGUGGCUCGAAUGCCUGGUUCUGAAUGUCUGUUUGCAAUCGCCGUCUAUCUUGGUAUUCCAACAGCUGCUGUUUGCUCCUACCUAGACCCCACCAACACUGGGAUGCCUCUACAAAGUAACACAUGUCCUCAUAUUACGUCUAGUUUCACCAAUGACAUGACAUUCCCUGAAAGACUUCUCAACACAUUAUUCUUCUUCGCCUUUCCUGUUGUGUUCAAAGUGUUUUACCAUCAGUGGACUACUCUGUAUUGGAUGAAAAUCUGGAAGGUGUCGACGCCAACAAUCUGGUAACGAAGUCUUUGCUUUUUAUAGAAAACUCCGACUAUAUCAUUGGCUACCCGAAAGAUGUGUUUCCGAAUUUUGUUCAGUGCGGUGAUCUGACAGCAAGCCCAG
This 1137-nucleotide unclassified non-coding RNA is filed under the name Haliotis rubra (blacklip abalone). RNAcentral's name for it is "uDP-glucuronosyltransferase 1A1-like, transcript variant X2". The record is from RNAcentral. Lineage: Eukaryota; Metazoa; Mollusca; Gastropoda; Lepetellida; Haliotidae.